ACGCGAAGAACCUUACCCAGGCUUGAACAGCGAGUGACCACUCAUGAAAGUGAGCUUCCGCAAGGACACUCGUAGAGGUGCUGCAUGGCUGUCGUCAGCUCGUGUCGUGAGAUGUUGGGUUAAGUCCCGCAACGAGCGCAACCCUUGUUUGCUGUUGCCAUCAGGUUAUGCUGGGCACUCUGCAAAGACCGCCGGUGAUAAACCGGAGGAAGGUGGGGAUGACGUCAAGUCAGCAUGGCCUUUAUGUCUGGGGCUACACACGUGCUACAAUGGCCGGUACAAACCGUCGCGAGCCCGCGAGGGGGAGCUAAUCGGAGAAAGCCGGUCUCAGUUCGGAUAGCAGGCUGCAACUCGCCUGCUUGAAGUUGGAAUCGCUAGUAAUCGCGGAUCAGCACGCCGCGGUGAAUACGUUCCCGGGCCUUGUA
This 425-nucleotide ribosomal RNA is filed under the name uncultured Acidobacterium sp. RNAcentral's name for it is "bacterial SSU rRNA". It matches the Rfam family "Bacterial small subunit ribosomal RNA", at positions 959 to 1385 of the family's 1533-position model. Lineage: Bacteria; Pseudomonadati; Acidobacteriota; Terriglobia; Terriglobales; Acidobacteriaceae. The record is from RNAcentral.